AAAUGGUGAAAAAGGAUCCAUAUAAAAAACCCCAAUUAGUUUAGGAAUUAGGCUUAGUUGUCGUUGUUGUCGUUGGAUAUUGUGAAUCUUCUAGGAGCCUAUGUUGUAUUACAUUUAAAUAGAUUUUUCACAAAAGUAUAGUUGCGUAAAAUAUAACUCUAAUUUAGGGUAUUUGAUGUAAUAGUAUUUUUUCUGACCCAUCAUUAACAGGUUUUUUUUAUUUUAUUAUUUAUUAUAAUUUGGAGUGUCUAGAAUGAGAAACAAAAGCCUGUACAAAAGCUCAUACUGGCAUAAUAACUCUUAAUCGGGUAAUGACUUGAUCAGUAAAAUUACAGUGGGGUUGCAGUUUAAGUGAAUGAUUUUACUCAACCCUCUUCCAUCUAUUCCCUCUCCUCUGUCCUCCCUAAAUUUCAUAUAUAUGUAUACCUUUCAUUACCUAAAGCACACAAUGAAACAGGUAAAGCAGGUAAACAAUGCUAAAUAGGAAAGAUUAUGAUAAUUCCAUCUAUAAUCAAUUAAUUUCCAAGAAUUAAAUAGGGGAUUACCUCAUCAGUUCUUGCCUAUAAGCAAAUUCUUUCUCAAAACCAGAGAAAUGUCUAUAUAUACUUACUGGGAAAG
This 618-nucleotide unclassified non-coding RNA is filed under the name Hevea brasiliensis (rubber tree). The record is from RNAcentral. Lineage: Eukaryota; Viridiplantae; Streptophyta; Magnoliopsida; Malpighiales; Euphorbiaceae.